Molecule: ribosomal RNA, 748 nt
Filed under: uncultured Methanotrichaceae archaeon
Lineage: Archaea; Methanobacteriati; Methanobacteriota; Methanomicrobia; Methanotrichales; Methanotrichaceae
Description: SSU rRNA
Rfam family: Archaeal small subunit ribosomal RNA
Source: RNAcentral
ACCCGGGAAACUGGGUAUAAUACCCGUUAGGUCUCGAUUGCUGGAAUGCAUCGAGAUUUAAAGCUCCGGCGCCUAAGGAUGGGUCUGCGGCCUAUCAGGUAGUAGUGGGUGUAGCGUACCUACUAGCCUACGACGGGUACGGGUUGUGAGAGCAAGAGCCCGGAGAUGGAUUCUGAGACACGAAUCCAGGCCCUACGGGGUGCAGCAGGCGCGAAAACUUUACAAUGCUGGCAACAGCGAUAAGGGAACCUCGAGUGCCAGGUUACAAAUCUGGCUGUCGAGAUGCCUAAAAAGCAUUUCAUAGCAAGGGCCGGGCAAGACCGGUGCCAGCCGCCGCGGUAACACCGGCGGCUCGAGUGGUAACCGUUAUUAUUGGGUCUAAAGGGUCUGUAGCCGGCCGGAUAAGUCUCUUGAGAAAUCUGGCAGCUUAACUGUCAGGCUUUCAGGAGAUACUGUCUGGCUCGAGGCCGGGAGAGGUGAGAGGUACUUCAGGGGUAGGGGUGAAAUCUUGUAAUCCUUGAAGGACCACCAGUGGCGAAGGCGUCUCACCAGAACGGACCUGACGGCAAGGGACGAAAGCUAGGGGCACGAACCGGAUUAGAUACCCGGGUAGUCCUAGCCGUAAACGAUACUCGCUAGGUGUCGGCCACGGUGCGACCGUUGUCGGUGCCGUAGGGAAGCCGUGAAGCGAGCCACCUGGGAAGUACGGCCGCAAGGCUGAAACUUAAAGGAAUUGGCGGGGGAGCAC